RNAcentral lists this ribosomal RNA (450 nucleotides) under uncultured bacterium. Its description in RNAcentral is "partial 16S ribosomal RNA". It matches the Rfam family "Bacterial small subunit ribosomal RNA", at positions 354 to 796 of the family's 1533-position model. The record is from RNAcentral.
GUGAGGAAUUUUCCGCAAUGGGCGAAAGCCUGACGGAGCAAUGCCGCGUGCAGGAAGAAGGCCUUCGGGUUGUAAACUGCUUUUGUACGGAACGAAACGGUCCUGGUUAAUACCUGGGGCUAAUGACGGUACCGUAAGAAUAAGCACCGGCUAACUACGUGCCAGCAGCCGCGGUAAUACGUAGGGUGCAAGCGUUAAUCGGAAUUACUGGGCGUAAAGCGUGCGCAGGCGGUUUUGUAAGACAGGCGUGAAAUCCCCGGGCUCAACCUGGGAAUUGCGCUUGUGACUGCAAGGCUGGAGUGCGGCAGAGGGGGAUGGAAUUCCGCGUGUAGCAGUGAAAUGCGUAGAUAUGCGGAGGAACACCGAUGGCGAAGGCAAUCCCCUGGGCCUGCACUGACGCUCAUGCACGAAAGCGUGGGGAGCAAACAGGAUUAGAAACCCGAGUAGUCC